RNAcentral lists this transfer-messenger RNA (206 nucleotides) under Candidatus Liberibacter asiaticus str. psy62. RNAcentral's name for it is "transfer-messenger RNA Liber_asiat_psy62". It matches the Rfam family "Alphaproteobacteria transfer-messenger RNA", at positions 148 to 355 of the family's 355-position model. From Rfam's summary of the family: Bacterial tmRNA, also known as 10Sa RNA or SsrA, is named for its dual tRNA and mRNA-like properties. Lineage: Bacteria; Pseudomonadati; Pseudomonadota; Alphaproteobacteria; Hyphomicrobiales; Rhizobiaceae. The record is from RNAcentral. RNAcentral also lists the same sequence under 1 other name.
GGGGGCGAAAUAGGAUAGACAAGAGUGUAAAGGUUGAAAGUUCGCUCGGCAUAGUACCGCCGUUAUCGGGCUAAAAAUGUAGUUGCAAAUGACAACUCUGCUAGAGAAGUUCUCGCUGCCUAGUCAGUGUGAUUUCUCACCUUAACUCCUGAUGGGUUGCACUAUCAGGCGGGGUUUGGAGGCACCUGGCAACAGAAGCCUCUUUA